This 849-nucleotide ribosomal RNA is filed under the name uncultured bacterium. Its description in RNAcentral is "bacterial SSU rRNA". It matches the Rfam family "Bacterial small subunit ribosomal RNA", at positions 28 to 888 of the family's 1533-position model. The record is from RNAcentral.
AACGAACGCUGGCGGCGUGCUUAACACAUGCAAGUCGAGCGAGAAAGGUACCUUCGGGUGCUGAGUAAAGCGGCGAACGGGUGAGUAACACGUGGGUAACGUACCUUUCAAUGGGGGAUAACAGUUUGAAAAGACUGCUAAUACCGCAUAAGACCACGACUUCUUAGGGAGAUGGGGUAAAAGGCUUCGGCCGUUGAAAGAUCGGCUCGCGGCCCAUUAGAUAGUUGGUGAGGUAAUGGCUCACCAAGUCAGAGAUGGGUAGCUGGUCUGAGAGGAUGAUCAGCCACACUGGGACUGAGACACGGCCCAGACUCCUACGGGAGGCAGCAGUGGGGAAUCUUGCGCAAUGGACGAAAGUCUGACGCAGCAACGCCGCGUGUGUGAUGAAGGCUUUCGGGUCGUAAAGCACUGUCAGGAGGGAAGAAGAAAGUGACGGUACCUCCAAAGGAAGCACCGGCUAACUCCGUGCCAGCAGCCGCGGUAAUACGGAGGGUGCAAGCGUUGUUCGGAAUUAUUGGGCGUGAAGCGCGCGCAGGCGGCUUGCCAAGUCCGAUGUGAAAGCCCAGGGCUCAACCUUGGAUGUGCAUUGGAAACUGGCAGGCUUGAGUAUGUGAGGGGUCAGUGGAAUUCCUGGUGUAGGAGUGAAAUCCGUAGAGAUCAGGAGGAACACCAGUGGCGAAGGCGACUGACUGGAACAUAACUGACGCUGAGGCGCGAAAGCGUGGGUAGCAAACAGGAUUAGAUACCCUGGUAGUCCACGCCGUAAACGAUGUUCACUAGCUGCUGUGUCCUUAGAUGAUGCAGUGGCGUAGCUAACGCGUUAAGUGAACCGCCUGGGGAGUACGGCCG